This 217-nucleotide non-coding RNA is filed under the name Thalassobium sp. R2A62. The record is from RNAcentral. Lineage: Bacteria; Pseudomonadati; Pseudomonadota; Alphaproteobacteria; Rhodobacterales; Paracoccaceae. RNAcentral also lists the same sequence under 1 other name.
CCCACAAGAAUCUCUGAUGGUUUUCAGGCGCCGAACAUGCGUUUGGAAUGAAAAGGGAAUACGGUAAGGAAGAGCGAAUACGCGCCAAAUCCGUAACUGCCCCCGCAACUGUAUGCGGCGAGUAACCUCGAUUGAUGCCACUGAGCCUUCGGCUUGGGAAGGCUCGAGGAAACGCUGAUCCGCAAGUCAGGAGACCUGCCAUCACGCGACGUUUCGG